GGCUGUGCAGUGAGCAUAGAGCAAACUAUUCUUUCUCCUUUUACUAAAGAAUACCGUGUGCUCGUCGCUUAUGGCAAUCUAUGCCUAUUUUUGGAGGCCAAAUUCCUUUAUAGGAAUG
Gossypium arboreum is the source of this 118-nucleotide small nuclear RNA. RefSeq annotates it as U5 spliceosomal RNA. The record is from RefSeq and is a predicted model, not a curated record. The transcript has a single exon. NCBI's taxonomy places the organism in Eukaryota, Viridiplantae, Streptophyta, Magnoliopsida, Malvales, Malvaceae.